AUCAUGAAUCCUCCUGGAUCUCAGUUUUCAUCAAAUAUUAAUAAAUAUUUCUGGUUUCUCUCCAGCAGCUGCUGAUCAGAUCCAAACUCAGAGACCAACUUUGACUCCAGAACCAGAGAGAGGAAGGAGCAUCAUCUUCAUCACUGUGACAGUCAUAGCAGCAGCAGCUGUGAUGGUUCUAAUAAGCUUGAUUAUAUCUUUUAUUUUGAGAAUGAAAAGAAAGAAAAACAAAAAUAAUCAUUCUACACGUGCAGCUGGAAAAUAUAUGCAGAUAAAAGUUUUGUUCACUUGAGUUUGGUUGAUGAUAAUUUUGCCGCCACAGAAACAGGUUAGAUUUAAUGUUCUGAUGAGGAAAAUGUAAGAUUGUAAUGAAUUAAUAUAUAAUAAUUAUAUUAAUCUGUUUAUUGUUUCAGUUUCCCGUUUUAAAUCAUCUCUAAAAACUGUCAGACGUAUUGAUCAGUUAUUGUGUCUAAAUGCUGAAUCAGCUGAUUGUUACUGAUAAAAUGAUUUAUUAUUUUCACAGGUAUAUUUAGAUAAACAUUUUUUUAAACCAGCUGAUAAAACUAAACACAGAAACAUCGCUCUGCUUUUACAGGGUGAUAAAGUCAGAGAGGGAGGAGAAAAACUGGAAGGAAAACUUUAAUGAUGGAGACAAAAUACUUGGUAGAUCUGGAUUUACUAAAUGUUUAAAUGUUUGAGCUGAGAUGACCUCACAUUUCAUUCUUCAUCACUUUGGUAACCAGAUCAGUUCCUGGUUGAUGUGAACGCAGCAAACCAGGCCCAGAGCAUCACUCCUCCACCGCUGUGUCCUGUUGUCAAUGGCAACCAAUGUCUCUCUGGUCUGGCCUCAGGGUGGAUGUAGUUUACCUUCUUCCUGUCUAAAAACUCAAAAGUUUUGUUACUGUGAUCAUUUUAUCUGCUUCAUUUUUUGUGUUUAUGGUGUUAAAAUGUUGUAAAUAAAUCAGUUUUUAUAGAAAG
Molecule: long non-coding RNA, 978 nt
Organism: Poecilia latipinna (sailfin molly)
Lineage: Eukaryota; Metazoa; Chordata; Actinopteri; Cyprinodontiformes; Poeciliidae
Exons: 2
Source: RefSeq, a predicted model, not a curated record